CAAUGGCUCUCGCAAGAUUUCUGGAUCACUGUAAAGCUACGUACACACAAAGUGCCAGAAUUUUCCUCACGGAUAAUGUAUCCAGUGAUGUCCUGAGACCAGUGCUUGUAAGACUGGAAACCCUUGAGAGAAGCAUAAGAUGGGCAAGAGGGAGGAUUCUCCAUCUUAAUGAUGCUGAUGGACUUCUCCCAUUUGUUAGCCAAUUUAUUCAACUUGUGAAAACAGCUUUGUCAACUGAAGAAGGUACCUUUGGGUAUCAAGCCCCACUGGUCCAGCAAGGUGAUUUUGGGCGACCCAGCUACCGUGUCACCAAAGAACAACUGAGAUUCCUGCUCUCAUAUGAAUUUACAGCUUCCCAGAUGUCUGAAGUCCUGGAAGUAUCAGUCAGUACAGUUAAACGGAGACAGAGGCGGUUUAACUUAUCUGAUAUCAUGAGGUAUGCACACCUUUCGGAGGCCGAACUUGAUGAAGUCGUUCGGCAGUUGGUUGGAGAAAAUGAACAAAUCGGAUCUAAUGCUGUUUGGGCCAGACUAGCUACUAUGGGUGUACGAGUUCAGCGGAGGAGAGUGAGAGAGAGUUUGAGUGAACCCGGCCGGAGCUGCACACAGAGCACUAUCUCAUCGACUGCACCGGAGAACCUACAGUGUUGCAGGUCCUGACUCUCUGUGGCACAUAGAUGGGAACCACAAGCUGAUCAGGUGGAGAGUAGUGAUCCAUGGGGGGAUCUGUGGCUUCAGCAGACUGGUUGUAUUUUUGCAAGCUUCCGACAACAACAGGGCUGGCACAGUGUUUGACCAGUUUGUUCAAGCCACAGCUAGGUAUGGGUUUCCAUCUCCAGUUAGAUGUGACCACGGAGGAGAAAACAAUACAGUUUGUUUGUUUAUGAAUAUCUAUCAUGGAUCUGAGAGAGGAAGAGAGAGACUUUGGGGAGAUCUUUGGCAGGGUAUGACUAAUGUGUACCACCAGUUUUCUCCUUUCUCGAGAGGGAUGGAGUCAUUGACGGUACCAACGAGCGACACGUGGGCACUGCAUCAUGUGUACAUUCCCCGGAUUAACCAGGACUUGGAGGUUUUCAGGGAACAGUGGAACAAUCAUGGAUUGCGCACUGCUGGUUACCACACACCAUAUCAGAUGUUUGUCAGAGGAUGUCUUCAGAGGCAAACAUCAUCACUCACUGCCACGGCAGAGAUUUUUGGACACAGACCUGCUCAAGAUGUUGCAAUUCCUGCUGUGGAUUGGCAGGAAGUUGUUACAGUUCCUGCUUACCAAUUCAGUCCAACCCAGGCACAGAUGCAACAACUGCAGGAUGUGGACAUUCUUGCAGGACCUGUUGGUAGUCCAGCUAUUGAUACACUGCAAUUAAUAUUCUGCAGCAGUAGCUUCUUGUCAAUUGGUUCUAUUGUAAUAGGGCUGUUCAA
This is a long non-coding RNA of Cyprinus carpio carpio, 1418 nucleotides long. NCBI's taxonomy places the organism in Eukaryota, Metazoa, Chordata, Actinopteri, Cypriniformes, Cyprinidae. The record is from Ensembl.